This 70-nucleotide small RNA is filed under the name Neochlamydia sp. AcF95. RNAcentral describes it as "ctRNA". Lineage: Bacteria; Pseudomonadati; Chlamydiota; Chlamydiia; Parachlamydiales; Parachlamydiaceae. The record is from RNAcentral.
CAGCAAGCCGCCUGCUUAACAAAGGCAGAGAAAGUAUCCAUAAGAUACUUUCUCUGCCUUUCUUUUUAUA